CAUAGGUUAAUGAGGCGAACCGGGGGAACUGAAACAUCUAAGUACCCCGAGGAAAAGAAAUCAACCGAGAUUCCCCCAGUAGCGGCGAGCGAACGGGGAGGAGCCCAGAGCCUGAAUCAGUGUGUGUGUUAGUGGAAGCGUCUGGAAAGGCGCGCGAUACAGGGUGACAGCCCCGUACACAAAAAUGCACAUGCUGUGAGCUCGAUGAGUAGGGCGGGACACGUGGUAUCCUGUCUGAAUAUGGGGGGACCAUCCUCCAAGGCUAAAUACUCCUGACUGACCGAUAGUGAACCAGUACCGUGAGGGAAAGGCGAAAAGAACCCCGGCGAGGGGAGUGAAAAAGAACCUGAAACCGUGUACGUACAAGCAGUGGGAGCCUCUUAAUGGGGUGACUGCGUACCUUUUGUAUAAUGGGUCAGCGACUUAUAUUCUGUAGCAAGGUUAACCGAAUAGGGGAGCCGAAGGGAAACCGAGUCUUAACUGGGCGUUAAGUUGCAGGGUAUAGACCCGAAACCCGGUGAUCUAGCCAUGGGCAGGUUGAAGGUUGGGUAACACUAACUGGAGGACCGAACCGACUAAUGUUGAAAAAUUAGCGGAUGACUUGUGGCUGGGGGUGAAAGGCCAAUCAAACCGGGAGAUAGCUGGUUCUCCCCGAAAGCUAUUUAGGUAGCGCCUCGUGAAUUCAUCUCCGGGGGUAGAGCACUGUUUCGGCAAGGGGGUCAUCCCGACUUACCAACCCGAUGCAAACUGCGAAUACCGGAGAAUGUUAUCACGGGAGACACACGGCGGGUGCUAACGUCCGUCGUGAAGAGGGAAACAACCCAGACCGCCAGCUAAGGUCCCAAAGUCAUGGUUAAGUGGGAAACGAUGUGGGAAGGCCCAGACAGCCAGGAUGUUGGCUUAGAAGCAGCCAUCAUUUAAAGAAAGCGUAAUAGCUCACUGGUCGAGUCGGCCUGCGCGGAAGAUGUAACGGGGCUAAACCAUGCACCGAAGCUGCGGCAGCGACACUAUGUGUUGUUGGGUAGGGGAGCGUUCUGUAAGCCUGUGAAGGUGGCCUGUGAGGGUUGCUGGAGGUAUCAGAAGUGCGAAUGCUGACAUAAGUAACGAUAAAGCGGGUGAAAAGCCCGCUCGCCGGAAGACCAAGGGUUCCUGUCCAACGUUAAUCGGGGCAGGGUGAGUCGACCCCUAAGGCGAGGCCGAAAGGCGUAGUCGAUGGGAAACAGGUUAAUAUUCCUGUACUUGGUGUUACUGCGAAGGGGGGACGGAGAAGGCUAUGUUGGCCGGGCGACGGUUGUCCCGGUU
Molecule: ribosomal RNA, 1302 nt
Filed under: Escherichia coli
Lineage: Bacteria; Pseudomonadati; Pseudomonadota; Gammaproteobacteria; Enterobacterales; Enterobacteriaceae
Description: partial 23S ribosomal RNA
Rfam family: Bacterial large subunit ribosomal RNA
Source: RNAcentral